GCAGAGGCUGAGGGCCUUGGAACCGGUAGGUGCGGGGAUGGAUUUAAUAGAGCGGUGGUUGCUGGCUGGCUGGCUGCUGCCGCUGCGGUUGGGCUGGGCUGGGACGCCACGUCCGUCGCGUCGCGCGGCGCGGUGGGAUGCUUGCGGCGGUGGGUUACCGCCGGGUUCUACUGCGGCUGCGGUCGCCGGAGGUACGCCUCCUACCUUUAGCAUUUUUAAGACACUUUGACAAUCUGACUCAUUUACUUAGCACACAAAAUAGCAAACAAUAGUGACAUUGUAUGAGAAAAUUAUGACAUAAAACAAAGCUUGCAUUUUGAAUCACUAAAAGUGACAUUUAUAGUACAACACCAAUACAUGGCACUUUGAGUCUCUCAAAUUGAUAUUAUAGUUACAAGGUCACAAAAUGCUAUAGUUACUCCAUAAAAUACUAUAGUAAGUCCUAUCUAGUCCAAAAUACUACCUAACCAACUUGCACAUACUAGCAUCAUCAUAAAUUGGAGCUGUCACGAGUUGGGUGAAAUUGCCAAUAACAUUGUACUCUUCAAUGUCCAUGAUUGCUCCUUUGUUGCUGCCAUCAUUCUCCACUUCCUUUGGAGGUUGUACACCAUCAUCUUGCUUUCGUUUCUGCUAACAAAAGUAUCACUAAUUAGCUAUGAAUGGCAACAACACAUAGAAGAACAUAUCUUUGGUUCAGAUUUAGUUGGCUUACUACGUUUACCAAGCUGUUCUUGUUUCAACUUAAAAUACUUGGUCACAUUAUUUGUUUUCCCUUUUCUUCGAUGACCCUCAUUGAAACAAACAAAUCUAUAUGAAGUUACCUUGCAUCAUAGCUACUUAUAUUUGCAUACCUUUUCCUCACAUCAAAGCCUCUACAACCCCGUAUGCAACCUAAAACUUCCAAGCAUCAUCUGGAUUUCUGAAUCUUAAAUCAACCUGAGGUGUUCCCUUCUCAAAUUCUGCUAUUGUCUUCCACAACACUGACAGUUCCAUAAAUAUGACCCAAAAAUCAACUAGAGCAUAUGAUUUUCCUACCAUGAAAUUGAGCAAAUUAACCUUUCAUAGUCACGGGAUCUCAGAUUGAUACAGAUGUGAAGUGAAUUAGUUGUCUUGUGCACAUGCUUAGGUGCACCUGACAAUGACGUCCUGUCGGUGACCGCAUUCCUCUCCUCCACGACAACCUGACG
Molecule: long non-coding RNA, 1187 nt
Filed under: Setaria italica (foxtail millet)
Lineage: Eukaryota; Viridiplantae; Streptophyta; Magnoliopsida; Poales; Poaceae
Description: long non-coding RNA (SITA_LNC001474)
Source: RNAcentral